This 497-nucleotide ribosomal RNA is filed under the name uncultured bacterium. RNAcentral's name for it is "partial 16S ribosomal RNA". It matches the Rfam family "Bacterial small subunit ribosomal RNA", at positions 28 to 507 of the family's 1533-position model. The record is from RNAcentral.
GACGAACGCUGGCGGCGUGCCUAAUACAUGCAAGUAGAACGCUGAAGAGAGGAGCUUGCUCUUCUUGGAUGAGUUGCGAACGGGUGAGUAACGCGUAGGUAACCUGCCUGGUAGCGGGGGAUAACUAUUGGAAACGAUAGCUAAUACCGCAUAAAAUUGAUUAUUGCAUGAUACUUAAUUGAAAGAUGCAACUGCAUCACUACCAGAUGGACCUGCGUUGUAUUAGCUAGUUGGUGAGGUAACGGCUCACCAAGGCGACGAUACAUAGCCGACCUGAGAGGGUGAUCGGCCACACUGGGACUGAGACACGGCCCAGACUCCUACGGGAGACAGCAGUAGGGAAUCUUCGGCAAUGGGGGGAACCCUGACCGAGCAACGCCGCGUGAGUGAAGAAGGUUUUCGGAUCGUAAAGCUCUGUUGUAAGAGAAGAACGGGUGUGAGAGUGGAAAGUUCACACUGUGACGGUAUCUUACCAGAAAGGGACGGCUAACUACGUG